RNAcentral lists this transfer RNA (70 nucleotides) under Marmota monax (woodchuck). RNAcentral's name for it is "tRNA.Val". The record is from RNAcentral. Lineage: Eukaryota; Metazoa; Chordata; Mammalia; Rodentia; Sciuridae.
GAGCUGGGGCUCAGUGGUAGAGCGCUUGCCUCACACAUAUGAGGCACUGGGUUCAAUCUACAGCACCACA